GUGCCAGCAGCCGCGGUAAUACGGAGGAUCCGAGCGUUAUCCGGAUUUAUUGGGUUUAAAGGGUGCGUAGGCGGACCUGUAAGUCAGCGGUGAAAGUUUGCAGCUUAACUGUAAAAUUGCCGUUGAAACUGUGGGUCUAGAGUGUAAAUGAGGUAGGCGGAAUGUGUUGUGUAGCGGUGAAAUGCUUAGAUAUAACACAGAACACCGAUUGCGAAGGCAGCUUACUGGGAUACAACUGACGCUGAGGCACGAAAGCGUGGGGAUCAAACAGGAUUAGAUACCCUGGUAGUCCACGCAGUAAACGAUGUUCACUAGGUGUUGGGGGUAUUGACCCUUCCAGUGCCGCAGCUAACGCAUUAAGUGAACCGCCUGGGGAGUACGUUCGCAAGAAUGAAACUCAAAGGAAUUGACGGGGGCCCGCACAAGCGGAGGAACAUGUGGUUUAAUUCGAUGAUACGCGAGGAACCUUACCCGGGCUUGAAAUGCAGAGGAAUUAUUGGGAAACCGAUACGCCAGCAAUGGUCUCUGUGUAGGUGCUGCAUGGUUGUCGUCAGCUCGUGCCGUGAGGUGUCGGCUUAAGUGCCAUAACGAGCGCAACCCUUAUCAUUAGUUACUAACAGGUUAAGCUGAGGACUCUAAUGAGACUGCCACCGUAAGGUGUGAGGAAGGUGGGGAUGACGUCAAAUCAGCACGGCCCUUACGUCCGGGGCGACACACGUGUUACAAUGGGGGGUACAGAGGGUCGCUACCACGCGAGUGGAUGCUAAUCUCAUAAAGCCUCUCUCAGUUCGGAUCGAAGUCUGCAACUC
This 809-nucleotide ribosomal RNA is filed under the name uncultured Bacteroidota bacterium. RNAcentral's name for it is "bacterial SSU rRNA". It matches the Rfam family "Bacterial small subunit ribosomal RNA", at positions 505 to 1313 of the family's 1533-position model. The record is from RNAcentral. Lineage: Bacteria; Pseudomonadati; Bacteroidota.